UUAAGCCAUGCGAGUCGAACGAGUUUAGGCUCGUGGCGUACGGCCCAGUAACACGUGGAUAACCUACCCUUAGGACCGGGAUAACCUUGGGAAACUGAGGAUAAUACUGGAUAGGCAAUUAUUUCUGCAAUGGUUUUUUGUUUAAAUGUUUUUUCGCCUAAGGAUGGGUCUGCGGCCGAUUAGGUAGUUGGUUAGGUAAAGGCUUACCAAGCCGUUGAUCGGUACGGGUUGUGAGAGCAAGAGCCCGGAGAUGGAACCUGAGACAAGGUUCCAGGCCCUACGGGGUGCAGCAGGCGCGAAACCUCCGCAAUGUGAGAAAUCGCGACGGGGGGAUCCCGAGUGCCAUUCUUAACGGGAUGGCUUUUCAUUAGUGUAAAGAGCUUUUGGAAUAAGGGCUGGGCAAGACCGGUGCCAGCCGCCGCGGUAA
RNAcentral lists this ribosomal RNA (427 nucleotides) under uncultured archaeon. RNAcentral describes it as "bacterial SSU rRNA". It matches the Rfam family "Archaeal small subunit ribosomal RNA", at positions 44 to 473 of the family's 1478-position model. The record is from RNAcentral.